UGGAAGUAAAAAGUCGUAACAAGGUUUCCGUAGGUGAACCUGCGGAAGGAUCAUUAAUAAUGCUCUCUGGCUUCGGUCAGUUGAGUUCAAUGAGUGCCUUCUCUUCGGAGUUGGCCAUCCAUACACACCGUGAACUGUGGCUUCGGCCAUCACAAACUGUUAGUAAUGAAUGUAAUAUCAUAACAAAAACAAAACUUUUAACAACGGAUCUCUUGGCUCUCGCAUCGAUGAAGAACGCAGCGAAAUGCGAUAAGUAAUGUGAAUUGCAGAAUUCAGUGAAUCAUCGAAUCUUUGAACGCACCUUGCGCCCUUUGGUAUUCCGAAGGGCAUGCCUGUUUGAGUGUCAUGAAACCUCACCCCACUUGGGUUUUUGCCUGAGCGGUGGUGUAUUGGGUGUUGCCUUGCCAAAGGCUCGCCUUAAAAACAUAAGCACCUUGGAUGUAAUACGUUUCAUCCUUCUGGGUGGCUGAUAACCCCACAUAUUCAUGAUCUGGCCUCAAAUCAGGUAGGGCUACCCGCUGAACUUAAGCAUAUCAAUAAGCGGAGGAAAAGAAACUAACUAGGAUUCCCUUAGUAACGGCGAGUGAACCGGGAUGAGCUCAAAUUUGAAAUCUGGCGUCUUUCAGGCGUCCGAGUUGUAAUCUAUAGAGGCGUUUUCCGCGCCGGACCGCGUCCAAGUCUCUUGGAAUAGAGUAUCAAAGAGGGUGACAAUCCCGUACUUGACGCGACAACCGGUGCUCUGUGAUACGUUCUCAAUGAGUCGAGUUGUUUGGGAAUGCAGCUCUAAAUGGGUGGUAAAUUCCAUCUAAGGCUAAAUAUUGGCGAGAGACCGAUAGCGAACAAGUACCGUGAGGGAAAGAUGAAAAGCACUUUGGAAAGAGAGUUAAACAGCACGUGAAAUUGUUAAAAGGGAAACGAUUGAAGUCAGUCGUGUGGGAAGUAUUCAGCCGUCUCUGGCGGUGUAUUUGCUUCUCACGGGUCAACAUCAGUUUGAUCCGGUAGAAAAAGGCGGGAAGAAGGUGGCACCCUCGGGUGUGUUAUAGCUUCCUGUCAUAUGUGCCGGACCAGACUGAGGAACGCAGCUUGCAGCAAUGCCGGGGUUCGCCCACGUACAAGCUUAGGAUGUUGACAU
Molecule: unclassified non-coding RNA, 1132 nt
Filed under: Vishniacozyma carnescens
Lineage: Eukaryota; Fungi; Basidiomycota; Tremellomycetes; Tremellales; Bulleribasidiaceae
Description: sequence contains 18S rRNA gene, ITS1, 5.8S rRNA gene, ITS2, 28S rRNA gene
Rfam family: Eukaryotic large subunit ribosomal RNA (bases 492-1132)
Source: RNAcentral